GAAAUAUUAUUAAUUUUCUAAUGCGAUCGUAAUAAUUAAUUAGGGGUGAUUUAAUAAAAUCACGAUUGAAGCAGCGAAGAACUCGUGUCUUAAAUGACUUAUAAUAACUAAUUAGAAGUGAUAUAAUAAAAUUACUUUAAAAAAUACUUGUGAAAAAAGCAUAAAUAGGCAUCAUAUAAGACAUCAAGUUAAUUUAAAAAAUAAAAAACUA
RNAcentral lists this long non-coding RNA (211 nucleotides) under Capsicum annuum. RNAcentral's name for it is "long non-coding RNA (CANN_LNC009437)". The record is from RNAcentral. Lineage: Eukaryota; Viridiplantae; Streptophyta; Magnoliopsida; Solanales; Solanaceae.